UCAGCUGACCUCUCCUGUAGCCUGUUCUUUAAGGAUGGAGUAUUGAAGGGCAGGGAUCUUCUCCCCAGACAGCCUCUUUUUGCCAUGGAAUAUCUUCCACACUAAUCGUGUCCUUCUGUAAGAGGCAAGACCGUUAGUCAUUGGAGAAGGGAAUGGUGCAGCAGAGGCCAAAUGGCCGAAACACCAGGGAUGUAGGAGUCAAGAGGGAGCAGCAAUGCGGAUAUCCUAAAAAGGUGUCGGUGCAGUUCCAACGGAACAUCAGGAAGAAGAUGGAUGUGAAAAGCAAAAAGAGCAACAGUUUGUCUUUUAUUGUCUAAAUAAGGAGCCAUUGGAACCAGGCACUGCAGCCCAUGGUUUCGCGUCCCAUGAUUAUGUCUGCUGAAAGACCACGUGCAGUUUUGGCGCUUAGUUGUUAAUGGUGUGCUCCAUGGGCUAAAUUCACGCCGGUGUAAGCGAGAGCUGCUCCAUAGAGACCGGACUUUAUACCCUAUCUGCAGGGAACUUUACUGAGUGAUACAGUCAAAAAUACGAUUAACACUUCCCACAGCAGGUAUCUAUGUACUCUGGUCUGUUCUUGGAAGAUACCUGCAAGAAAUCACUCACCUCAGAGGGAACACUGCGCCAAACUGAUCUCUGGUACAAUUCCCCUGAAGUCACAUGGAUGCUUGGAUUUAUUUGGCCCAUCCUGUUUCUUUAGCCAUGAGAAGAUGUUUUCAAAUUAUAGUUCCAGUACGAAAGCAUGGAGACACUACCCUAGUCACCUACAAUUUCUCUUGCUAAUAUAAUAUUUUCUGUUGCAAAACUGGACUGAUUUGUUAUGAUAA
This is a long non-coding RNA of Chelonia mydas (Green sea turtle), 824 nucleotides long. RefSeq lists it as uncharacterized. Lineage: Eukaryota; Metazoa; Chordata; Testudines; Cheloniidae. The record is from RefSeq and is a predicted model, not a curated record. The transcript is spliced from 3 exons.